UACGGAGGGUGCGAGCGUUGUCCGGAAUCACUGGGCGUAAAGGGCGCGUAGGCGGCGCGACAAGUCAAUGGUGAAAGCCCGAGGCUCAACUUCGGGUCGGCCACUGAUACUGUUGGGCUUGAGCACUGUAGAGGCAGGUGGAAUUCCGGGUGUAGCGGUGGAAUGCGUAGAGAUCCGGAAGAACGCCGGUGGCGAAGGCGGCCUGCUGGGCAGUAGCCGAAAGGCUUUCAAGCUGACACUGAGGCGCGACAGCGUGGGGAGCAAACAGG
RNAcentral lists this ribosomal RNA (269 nucleotides) under uncultured bacterium. Its description in RNAcentral is "partial 16S ribosomal RNA". It matches the Rfam family "Bacterial small subunit ribosomal RNA", at positions 524 to 776 of the family's 1533-position model. The record is from RNAcentral.